CCUCUCAUUCUGGACAAGAGGUUAAAGAGGAGGAAGUGGACAAUGAACCCGUGGCUGUUGUUGGAGCCGCAGAGCCUGAAGAAAUUAAAUCAGACACAACAGCAGCACCAGAACCUCUUCUGGCCCCCUCUGAUUCUGGACAGGAGGUGGAAGAGAAAGAAGUGGAGAAGGAACCUGUGGCUGUUGGAAAAGUCAUGCCUGAAGGAAUGAAAUCAGUAAGUGCCAGCUUUGGUUAGCACUGCCUUUGGUGUCAUUCAGAGCUGCAAGUUCCUGAGCAGACAGUGCUUGCCAUGCAUGGCUGAAGAGUGUGAGGGCUGGAGCCCUGCCAUGACAUGGUGCUUCAGCCCAUCUGCUGACACCUGGAAAAGAGGUUUUGAACUUCCAAGUUGAGCCAGAGUGUUACUUGCAGGACACACAGCAAUAACUGUGUCCAGAGGGUAGUGUCCCCUCUGAACGGCCUAGUUGAGAAAAUGCAUGAAAAUUGAAGAGGAAACUGCCCAUGAACUCGUGUAAAUCCAGUCUUUUCUUCUCGUCCAUUCACUUUGUGAAGUGGCCAGCAAAAGACAGUUUAAGAGCCUGACUUGUGGCCAACAGCAUCUUCCCAAGGGUUUGCCUCUGAACUAUGAUCUCAGGACAUCUCUGCAAGCCACCUUUCUGACAUAAACUAAUUCUUGCCACAGAUCCUCAAGAGCUCUGCAAUGGCAGGCGCUGCUGUAGCACCACAGUCUGAAGAAGUCACCUUUCCCGACACUGAAAUUCCUCCACUCGCAAAGGAGGCAGAGUCAAGAAGGACUUGGAAAACAGCCAACGUAUGUGUGGAGGAACAAGAAACAGAAUGGCAGCAUUUCUAAGCUUGCAGAGACCUGAAUGGUUCUUGAGGAAAACACCAACUUAUGGACUUCCAUGUUUUUACCCCAGUUCUGAACCCAGUUUAAUGUACCCACACAUAUAUCUCUCUAUCAAUCCCCUUGAUUUGUACUACCCCAGACACGUCUGAACUUGUCCCCAGUUAUUUCCCACCAAAAGUUGUUUUCUCCCUUACUCUCCCCUGCCUUCCCGCUCAUCCCACACUGAUUGGCCAGAAAAUGCCGCAGUGCGGAGUGAGCUCCCAUUGGCCCCAGAUACCUGACUCCUCCCAAGUUCCUCCCUCCUUCUCCCUACUCCCCAAUCCUGUGGCACCCUGAGAUGUCCGUCCCAUGCUCCGCCCCGGUUAUCGGACCUCCCUCACGUGAACCCUACAUAAAUCCUCGUUCCUUUUAAUAAAGUAGCCAUUGCAUGCCCUCA
This is a long non-coding RNA of Pipra filicauda (Wire-tailed manakin), 1284 nucleotides long. RefSeq lists it as uncharacterized. The transcript is spliced from 2 exons. Lineage: Eukaryota; Metazoa; Chordata; Aves; Passeriformes; Pipridae. The record is from RefSeq and is a predicted model, not a curated record.